GUGCUGGGCGGAUUUGCGACUAGAGGCAAACCACCGGGCGAUAGACCCCUGCCGCUGGGUGGUAGUGCGAUUUGAGGAAACCGUCGGGCGCCACACUUGUUCCGCCGGGUAGUUGUCUGCCGGGCUUGGGCCUGUUUUCUGUUGCGCUCCUCACCUAUAAAUAGCCGUAUUGCGAGUUUAGAUGCAUUCUUUUGACAGAAGGGGGCGGC
RNAcentral lists this long non-coding RNA (209 nucleotides) under Vigna radiata. RNAcentral's name for it is "long non-coding RNA (VRAD_LNC016055)". Lineage: Eukaryota; Viridiplantae; Streptophyta; Magnoliopsida; Fabales; Fabaceae. The record is from RNAcentral.